This 391-nucleotide unclassified non-coding RNA is filed under the name soil metagenome. RNAcentral describes it as "partial contains 5.8S ribosomal RNA, internal transcribed spacer 2, and large subunit ribosomal RNA". The stretch from base 1 to 122 matches the Rfam family "5.8S ribosomal RNA", at positions 35 to 154 of the family's 154-position model. The record is from RNAcentral.
GAUGAAGAACGUAGUGAAAUGCGAUACUUGGUGUGAAUUGCAGAAUCCCGUGAACCAUCGAGUCUUUGAACGCAAGUUGCGCCCGAAGUCAUUAGGCCGAGGGCACGCCUGCCUGGGCGUCACACGUCGUUGCCCCCCCAUCUACUCCUUCGGGAUUGCGGGGGGCGGAUGAUGGCCUCCCGUGCGCCUCGUCGCGCGGUUGGCAUAAAUGCCAAGUCCUCGGCGACGCACGCCACGACAAUCGGUGGUUGCGAAACCUCGGUUGCCCGUCGUGUGCGGUCGUCGCGCAUCGAGGGCUCGAAAAAAUUGCCGGGCUCCGGCUCGGCUUUCAACGCGACCCCAGGUCAGGCGGGGUUACCCGCUGAAUUUAAGCAUAUCAAUAAGCGGAGGA